CAACCAUCAUCGACUCUUACGCAUUUAAUGAAAAUGUUUUUUAUAAAUUAUUACGAGGUCUUAAACGAAUUUUUCAAUGUGGUUUAAUUUUUGAUUCUAUUUGUGUAAAGAUUUCCAUCUAUCGGUUAAAAUGGCGUGGUUCAUUAGCGUCAUGAAGAUGGCGUCAUCUGUCCAUCAAUCCAUCAUCAACCUCAUCGUUAAUUUACAAAUACAAACAAGAAAAAAAAUCGAUUUUGAAUCGUUUUUAUGUCAAGCAGACGCCAAGCAUCUUUGAAUAGCGUGGUCUGUGCUCUAUGAUAAGUGUUACUGCUGGAGUGAGCAAUUUCAGCGUCAUGAUGGCGUGCCCCGUUAGCGUCAUGAUGGCGUGCCCCGUUAGCGUCAUGGUUGGCGUGCCCUGUUAGCGUCAUGGUUGGCGUGCCCUAUGUAAGCGUCGUGAUUGGCGUGCCCUGUGUUAACACAAUAUGCUUUCUUUAUUCGUGUGCUGUGAUUUCAACACCAGCAUUGGUCAGAGGAGACUCGCAAGCAGCAAGCUAGAACCUCUUCAUCAGCCAGAAGCUUGCUACAAAGAAGUACACAGUUCAGGGGCUGCACAGAUGUGCAACAAUUUUAUCGAGCCAUGGCAUCUGAGUGUGAUGGUGCCCUGUCAAUUUAUAAUAUGCCAACCCCUAACUAGCCUAGGAGUAAACAGGUUGAUUUGCAUUAUUUGGAUCUUCUCUAACAGAAAUCAACUGAGGACCACCAGACAGCAUCUUAACAGACGAGCUCUUCUAGUAAAAUUUUGAGUGAUGAUGGAGAUUGGGGUUGGUUUGCCCCUCCGAAGUCACGAAAGGAUUAUUCUGCAUCGUAUUUUUCAAUAUUGCAGCCUACGACAAGCGUGUUGAAGUUGAAGAACAUUUACCAGAGCAAAAAGUACUGAAAGAUAAGUCUGCUGUAACCAUAGAUUCGCACAAUAGUUUAGAGCUACGGGUAGUAGUAUUUUCUCUACCGGGUUGGUUACUAUUCACGUUCUUCAGCAAUCAGAUCCAUGCAGUGCUUGCUAAAUCCGUGCAGAUCCAAUCGGCCAAUUAAUUCGGCCAUUGUGACAGGUUUCAAGUGAAGCGAAAACGGACAAAUUACCAAACUGGAAUCAGCGCAAGCGACAGCUCUUAUGCAAGAAGUCGUACCUUCCCUAGGGAACCUGUGUUGAAAGCGGCAAAACUCGUCUGAUGGUACCUUCAAAGAGAGAAAAAGACAGGCCACCACGAAAUCAUAAUUGAGGGAAAUCUAUCUUAUUUUUAUUGACAAAUCAAAUCAAAACAUUUUUAUCUACACUG
Molecule: unclassified non-coding RNA, 1313 nt
Filed under: Daphnia pulex (common water flea)
Lineage: Eukaryota; Metazoa; Arthropoda; Branchiopoda; Diplostraca; Daphniidae
Description: uncharacterized LOC124191588, transcript variant X5
Source: RNAcentral